GUAGAGUGGCGAACGGGUUAGUAACGCGUGGGAACAUACACAGCACAGGGGGAUAACCAUUGGAAACGAUGGCUAAUACCGCAUACGCCCUAUUGGGGAAAGAUUUAUCGGUGUUGGAUUGGCCCGCGUUAGAUUAGCUAGUUGGUGGGGUAAUGGCUCACCAAGGCGACGAUUUAUAGCUGGUUUGAGAGGAUGAUCAGCAACACUGGAACUGAGACACGGUCCAGACUCCUACGGGAGGCAGCAGUCGGGAAUAUUGUGCAAUGGGGGCAACCCUGACACAGCCAUGCCGCGUGAGUGAAGAAGGCCUUAGGGUUGUAAAGCUCUUUCAGAUGUGAGGAUGAUGACGAUAGCAUCAGAAGAAGCUCCGGCUAACUUCGUGCCAGCAGCCGCGGUAAUACGAAGGGAGCUA
This 412-nucleotide ribosomal RNA is filed under the name uncultured bacterium. RNAcentral's name for it is "bacterial SSU rRNA". It matches the Rfam family "Bacterial small subunit ribosomal RNA", at positions 90 to 537 of the family's 1533-position model. The record is from RNAcentral.